This 484-nucleotide ribosomal RNA is filed under the name uncultured bacterium. RNAcentral's name for it is "bacterial SSU rRNA". It matches the Rfam family "Bacterial small subunit ribosomal RNA", at positions 29 to 507 of the family's 1533-position model. The record is from RNAcentral.
AACGAACGCUGGCGGCGCGCCUAACACAUGCAAGUCGAACGAGAAUCCGGGGCAACCCGGUAGUAAAGUGGCAAACGGGUGAGGAAUACAUGGGUAACCUACCCUUGAGAAGGGAAUAACCCGCCGAAAGGUGAGCUAAUACCCUAUACGCUAUCUUUUUUUCGAAAAGGAUAGGAAAGCCGGGUCGAGGACCUGGUACUCAAGGAGGGGCUCAUGUCCUAUCAGCUUGUUGGUGGGGUAACGGCCUACCAAGGCUACGACGGGUAACUGGUCUGAGAGGAUGAUCAGCCACACUGGCACUGAGAUACGGGCCAGACUCCUACGGGAGGCAGCAGUGAGGAAUAUUGCGCAAUGGGCGAAAGCCUGACGCAGCGACGCCGCGUGGGGGAUGAAGGUUUUCGGAUUGUAAACCCCUUUCAUGAGGAAGAUAAAGUGGGUAACCACUUAGACGGUACCUCAAGAAGAAGCCACGGCUAACUUCGUG